CAAGUCGAGCGAACGGACGAGAAGCUUGCUUCUCUGAUGUUAGCGGCGGACGGGUGAGUAACACGUGGAUAACCUACCUAUAAGACUGGGAUAACUUCGGGAAACCGGAGCUAAUACCGGAUAAUAUUUUGAACCGCAUGGUUCAAAAGUAAAAGACGGUCUUGCUGUCACUUAUAGAUGGAUCCGCGCUGCAUUAGCUAGUUGGUAAGGUAACGGCUUACCAAGGCAACGAUGCAUAGCCGACCUGAGAGGGUGAUCGGCCACACUGGAACUGAGACACGGUCCAGACUCCUACGGGAGGCAGCAGUAGGGAAUCUUCCGCAAUGGGCGAAAGCCUGACGGAGCGACGCCGCGUGAGUGAUGAAGGUCUUCGGAUCGUAAAACUCUGUUAUUAGGGAAGAACAUAUGUGUAAGUAACUGUGCACAUCUUGACGGUACCUAAUCAGAAAGCCACGGCUAACUACGUGCCAGCAGCCGCGGUAAUACGUAGGUGGCAAGCGUUAUCCGGAAUUAUUGGGCGUAAAGCGCGCGUAGGCGGUUUUUUAAGUCUGAUGUGAAAGCCCACGGCUCAACCGUGGAGGGUCAUUGGAAACUGGAAAACUUGAGUGCAGAAGAGGAAAGUGGAAUUCCAUGUGUAGCGGUGAAAUGCGCAGAGAUAUGGAGGAACACCAGUGGCGAAGGCGACUUUCUGGUCUGUAACUGACGCUGAUGUGCGAAAGCGUGGGGAUCAAACAGGA
This 737-nucleotide ribosomal RNA is filed under the name uncultured Staphylococcus sp. Its description in RNAcentral is "bacterial SSU rRNA". It matches the Rfam family "Bacterial small subunit ribosomal RNA", at positions 58 to 777 of the family's 1533-position model. Lineage: Bacteria; Bacillati; Bacillota; Bacilli; Caryophanales; Staphylococcaceae. The record is from RNAcentral.